UUAAAUUGAAGAGUUUGAUCAUGGCUCAGAUUGAACGCUGGCGGCAGGCCUAACACAUGCAAGUCGAACGGUAACAGGAAGCAGCUUGCUGCUUCGCUGACGAGUGGCGGACGGGUGAGUAAUGUCUGGGAAACUGCCUGAUGGAGGGGGAUAACUACUGGAAACGGUAGCUAAUACCGCAUAACGUCGCAAGACCAAAGAGGGGGACCUUCGGGCCUCUUGCCAUCGGAUGUGCCCAGAUGGG
RNAcentral lists this ribosomal RNA (244 nucleotides) under Escherichia coli. Its description in RNAcentral is "partial 16S ribosomal RNA". It matches the Rfam family "Bacterial small subunit ribosomal RNA", at positions 1 to 239 of the family's 1533-position model. Lineage: Bacteria; Pseudomonadati; Pseudomonadota; Gammaproteobacteria; Enterobacterales; Enterobacteriaceae. The record is from RNAcentral.